GGAAAAUGCUUGAUGAACUCUCAUCAGCAAUUGCGUGCCGAGCACUGCGCGCGCUAUAAAAAUAACUCGCAGGGUCUGAGAACGGAGAAAUUCAUGUAGAAGAAGAGAGAGAUUCUACUGUCUGACGAAGAACCCCACGAAAGGAGCAAAAAUGAAAUACUGUUCUCAAUGGUGGAUGCUAUCAUUGGCAAUUCUACUUUUGACCAUAUCCGUUCAUGCCUCGCAAGCUCUUCUAAGAAAUGAAAAUGGGGUGAAAACUGCCGUCUUCUUAUCCCCUGCAUUUGUGCUAGGACCGGGAUCUGUGGAGGACAAAUUCUACUACAAUGUCGACUUCCCAAGAGGCCACAUUGCUGUCAAGGACUUCAAUGCUGAAGUAGUUGAUGAGGCGGGGAAUCCUAUCCCACUUCAUGAGACUUAUCUCCACCAUUGGGUCAUGUUUAAAUACUAUAGUCGCACUUCUGCUGUGGAUCUGGAUAUCGCCAGUGGUCAGGAGCUUCACCUGUCUAAGUUUAUUUUUGCAAGGAAUGCCGGAGUUUGCCAGGGAACUAUGCUUGGGCAGUACUAUGGCCUUGGGUCGGAAACACGCCGGACUUCCACGUUCGUGCCAGACCCUUAUGGUAUAGAGGUCGGUAAUCCUGCCGAAAUUCCAAAUGGGUAUGAGGAGAGGUGGUUUCUGAAUGUCCAUGCAAUCGAUACGCGGGGUGUGGUUGAUCGGAUGGGGUGCACGGAGUGCAGGUGCAAUCUUUAUAAUGUGACGGAGGAUUCAUACGGCAGGCCUUUGAGAAAGGAUUACACCGGCGGUCUUAGUUGUUGCUAUGAUCAGGCACAGUGUAGGGUGAGAGAAGGCAUUGAUCAUGUGAAGAGAAAGCUCUACUUGAGAUACACGGUUAAGUGGGUUGACUGGGAUGACAGCAUCGUGCCUGUCAAGAUAUACAUAUUCGAUGUCACAGAUUCUGGGAAGAGGGAAAAUUCAACCAAAGAAAAUGCUCUAAUCGGUUGCCGGGUUGAAUACAACGUUGAGCCAUGUGGUGCUGCAGGCAUGGACAAAGGCCUUUGUGUAGAUACCAAAAAGACAAAUGUGGUUAUGCCUCGUGGGGGCAAUAUUAUCUACGGGGUGGCCCAUCAGCAUUGGGGUGGAAUUGGCGGUACUGUUUAUGGACAGGAUGGCCGAGUUAUAUGCUCUUCAAUACCAAUCUAUGGAAACGGGAAAGAAGCAGGGAAUGAGGAUGGCUACAUUGUCGGGAUGUCCACUUGCUAUCCUAAGCCAGGGUCUGUUAAAAUUGCAGAUGGCGAGGUUUUUGACUUUUGAAUCGAAUUAUAGCAGCACCCAAAUGCAUACUGGAGUCAUGGGCCUCUUCUACAUCUUAGUAGCAGAUCCGCCACGCAAGAACAUCUUAUCCUCGCGCUUUCCAGCUCAGGAUAGCAUAGAGUUCUCUAAGUAUACAUGGGCAGUGGUUUUGUGGGCAUGACGCUUGUUCUGGUGAUUGCUGCUGUUAGCUAUCGAAGAAGAACAAAUGAGAAAGACGGAGGCUACCAGCCCAUUGUGUAAUGUAAUAUCGUUUCAUGUAAUAUGAUACAACUACCUCUACAGACACAAGUGCAAGGCCGUUAUUUAGCUUUGUAAGAUGGUAUGCAGCAGAUAGCAAUAAAAGGUACUACGUUUUUCUUUCUUCA
RNA transcript from Magnolia sinica, 1674 nucleotides. RefSeq lists it as uncharacterized. The record is from RefSeq and is a predicted model, not a curated record. The transcript is spliced from 5 exons. Lineage: Eukaryota; Viridiplantae; Streptophyta; Magnoliopsida; Magnoliales; Magnoliaceae.